AUUGAACGCUGGCGGAAUGCUUUACACAUGCAAGUCGAACGGCAGCACGGACUUCGGUCUGGUGGCGAGUGGCGAACGGGUGAGUAAUGUAUCGGACCGUGCCCGGUCGUGGGGGAUAACGUCGGGAAAUUUUCGCUAAUCCCGCAUACGAUCUCUGGAUGAAAGCGGGGGGGCGCAAGACCUCGCGCGCUGGGAGCGGCCGAUACCAGAUUAGGUAGUUGGUGGGGUAAAGGGCCACCAAGCCAACGAUCUGUAGCUGGUCUGAGAGGACGACCAGCCACACUGGAACUGAGACACGGUCCAGACUCCUACGGGAGGCAGCAGUGGGGAAUUUUGGACAAUGGGCGAUAGCCUGAUCCAGCCAUUCCGCGUGCAGGAUGAAGGCCCUCGGGUGGUAAACUGCUUUUGUACAGAACGAAAAGGUUUCUACUAAUACUAGGAGCUCAUGACGGUACUGUAAGAAUAAGCACCGGCUAACUACGUGCCAGCAGCCGCCGCCG
RNAcentral lists this ribosomal RNA (500 nucleotides) under uncultured bacterium. RNAcentral describes it as "partial 16S ribosomal RNA". It matches the Rfam family "Bacterial small subunit ribosomal RNA", at positions 30 to 523 of the family's 1533-position model. The record is from RNAcentral.